AUCUUUUUAUGGGAAGCUGACUUCCUCAAAUCUGAUACAUCUCUAAAUGGCUGAGGAGAUGAAAGAGCAUUCACUAGACUGAGUCUUCAGAUUUUGUCUGCAAGAAGAGUUUGAUGCAAUCAGUCACAGCUCUUACAAGAAAACUACAAAAUUCAUUGACACUAAUUAUCUGACUUAAGGUAGAGUUUUGUGCCAGUUCUCCAUCAUCU
RNAcentral lists this long non-coding RNA (209 nucleotides) under Cyanistes caeruleus (blue tit). Its description in RNAcentral is "lncRNA (ENSCCEG00000018219.1)". The record is from RNAcentral. Lineage: Eukaryota; Metazoa; Chordata; Aves; Passeriformes; Paridae.